AAAUAAGAGAUAUAACCGCGGAAACAGGUUAUGAUGAUAUAGUCUGUUUCUGAGGCAAAGUCCGGGCUCCACCGGAAAUAAUGCCGGAUAAGAACCGGGCAGAAAUCGGCAGUUGCAUAAUUUCUUGCAUAACCCGAAAUCUGACAGAAAGUGCAGCAGAAAAUAACCGCAUUCGAAAGAGUGUAAGGGUGAAAAGGCGGGGUAAGAGCCCACCGGAUUUCUGGUAACAGAAAUUGCAGGUAAACCUCAUUUGGAGCAAGGUCAAGCAGCAGCUAUGUGUUCCGGACAGUUACGCUGCGGGUAGAUCGCUAAAGGUUUCGGGCAACUGAAAUCUCGGAUAGAUGGUUAUGCGGACGCAAGUCCAGACCAGAACCCGGCUUACUGUCUCUUAUUUUUAU
RNAcentral lists this RNase P RNA (398 nucleotides) under Candidatus Treponema scatequi. RNAcentral's name for it is "RNase P RNA component class A". It matches the Rfam family "Bacterial RNase P class A". Rfam says of the family: Ribonuclease P (RNase P) is a ubiquitous endoribonuclease, found in archaea, bacteria and eukarya as well as chloroplasts and mitochondria. Its best characterised activity is the generation of mature 5'-ends of tRNAs by cleaving the 5'-leader elements of precursor-tRNAs. Cellular RNase Ps are ribonucleoproteins. Lineage: Bacteria; Pseudomonadati; Spirochaetota; Spirochaetia; Treponematales; Treponemataceae. The record is from RNAcentral.